UAACACAUGCAAGUCGAGGGGCAGCAUGGUCUUAUCUUGCUAAGGCCGAUGGCGACCGGCGCACGGGUGAGUAACACGUAUCCAACCUGCCGUCUACUCUUGGACAGCCUUCUGAAAGGAAGAUUAAUACAAGAUGGCAUCAUGAGUCCGCAUGUUCACAUGAUUAAAGGUAUUCCGGUAGACGAUGGGGAUGCGUUCCAUUAGAUAGUAGGCGGGGUAACGGCCCACCUAGUCUUCGAUGGAUAGGGGUUCUGAGAGGAAGGUCCCCCACAUUGGAACUGAGACACGGUCCAAACUCCUACGGGAGGCAGCAGUGAGGAAUAUUGGUCAAUGGGCGAGAGCCUGAACCAGCCAAGUAGCGUGAAGGAUGACUGCCCUAUGGGUUGUAAACUUCUUUUAUAAAGGAAUAAAGUCGGGUAUGGAUACCCGUUUGCAUGUACUUUAUGAAUAAGGAUCGGCUAACUCCGUGCCAGCAGCCGCGGUAAUACGGAGGAUCCGAGCGUUAUCCGGAUUUAUUGGGUUUAAAGGGAGCGUAGAUGGAUGUUUAAGUCAGUUGUGAAAGUUUGCGGCUCAACCGUAAAAUUGCAGUUGAUACUGGAUAUCUUGAGUGCAGUUGAGGCAGGCGGAAUUCGUGGUGUAGCGGUGAAAUGCUUAGAUAUCACGAAGAACUCCGAUUGCGAAGGCAGCCUGCUAAGCUGCAACUGACAUUGAGGCUCGAAAGUGUGGGUAUCAAACAGGAUUAGAUACCCUGGUAGUCCACACGGUAAACGAUGAAUACUCGCUGUUUGCGAUAUACUGCAAGCGGCCAAGCGAAAGCGUUAAGUAUUCCACCUGGGGAGUACGCCGGCAACGGUGAAACUCAAAGGAAUUGACGGGGGCCCGCACAAGCGGAGGAACAUGUGGUUUAAUUCGAUGAUACGCGAGGAACCUUACCCGGGCUUAAAUUGCAGAUGAAUUACGGUGAAAGCCGUAAGCCGCAAGGCAUCUGUGAAGGUGCCGCAUGGUUGUCGUCAGCUCGUGCCGUGAGGUGUCGGCUUAAGUGCCAUAACGAGCGCAACCCUUGUUGUCAGUUACUAACAGGUUCCGCUGAGGACUCUGACAAGACUGCCAUCGUAAGAUGUGAGGAAGGUGGGGAUGACGUCAAAUCAGCACGGCCCUUACGUCCGGGGCUACACACGUGUUACAAUGGGGGGUACAGAGGGCCGCUACCACGCGAGUGGAUGCCAAUCCCCAAAACCUCUCUCAGUUCGGACUGGAGUCUGCAACCCGACUCCACGAAGCUGGAUUCGCUAGUAAUCGCGCAUCAGCCACGGCGCGGUGAAUACGUUCCCGGGCCUUGUACACACCGCCCGUCAAGCCAUGGGAGCCGGGGGUACCUGAAGUGCGUAACCGCGAGGAGCGCCCUAGGGUAAAACUGGUGACUGGGGCUAAGUCG
Molecule: ribosomal RNA, 1435 nt
Filed under: uncultured bacterium
Lineage: Bacteria
Description: bacterial SSU rRNA
Rfam family: Bacterial small subunit ribosomal RNA
Source: RNAcentral